RNAcentral lists this ribosomal RNA (415 nucleotides) under uncultured bacterium. Its description in RNAcentral is "bacterial SSU rRNA". It matches the Rfam family "Bacterial small subunit ribosomal RNA", at positions 29 to 431 of the family's 1533-position model. The record is from RNAcentral.
AACGAACGCUGGCGGCGUGGAUAAGACAUGCAAGUCGAACGGAAUUACUUUUUGUAGCAAUACAGAAGUAAUUCAGUGGCGAACGGGUGCGUAACACGUGGGCAAUCUGCCGAGAAGUGGGGGAUAGCUCGCCGAAAGGCGAAUUAAUACCGCAUGUGGUGAGGGAAGACAUCUUCCUGAAUCCAAAGCCGGGGUAACCUGGCGCUUUUUGAGGAGCCCGCGGCCUAUCAGCUGUUGGUGAGGUAACGGCUCACCAAGGCUUUGACGGGUAGCUGGUCUGAGAGGACGACCGGCCACACUGGGACUGAGACACGGCCCAGACUCCUACGGGAGGCAGCAGUGGGGAAUCUUGCGCAAUGGGCGAAAGCCUGACGCAACGACGCCGCGUGAGGAAUGACGGCCUCGGUUGUAACGU